AUUCCUGGCUCCCGCUCUCCUCCAAGACUUUCCCGCAGGUCAUUGCAGAUCGCCACCUUCUGCCAAAGGUUUUCACCGACUCUCUGGUCCGACGAGGAACGCUGCUGAGCCUGACUCUAGCAGGAGGAAAGCCCCACGCCUCUGUCUUGGGAUACUCAAACCACACCUCCCGGGCAAGGGCUCCCCUGGGGAGGAAUAUGAGCCACAAUUGUAUGAAAAUCUUUCCUGGACACCUUCGGAUAAGAUGAAAUAAACUUGGAGAAUGGCAUCUGUGUUGGAAGAAAGUUCUGGACUCCACAGUGGCUUGCUCCAGAAAAGCCAAACCAUCAGCUCUCUUGACAGCACAGAGAAUGCCAGUGUGUGGGAAACAGACCGCGGUCACCCUGAGCGGCAAGGGGCUUUCCAGUGCUUAGGCUCUGAAUGUGAAACAUUUUAGAAAGAGAUGAAACAAUUUUUUUCGCUUGUAUUUUCCUAUGUGUUUGAAGG
This 486-nucleotide long non-coding RNA is filed under the name Homo sapiens (human). Its description in RNAcentral is "HSALNT0253170". Lineage: Eukaryota; Metazoa; Chordata; Mammalia; Primates; Hominidae. The record is from RNAcentral.